AACGAUGGCAGAGGAGCAAAGCAAGAUAAAUGGAACAAGCACCCUUGGCAAACAAGAGUGCAGCUUCAGGAAGCAGUAGUGUGGACAAGUUAAGUGGAAGCUAAUAUCACGUUUUGAAGUCUCCGAUCUCGGACACAUCUGAAAAAAAAAGAGCAAGAACGAAAGAGAGCAAGAGGAUGGCAAUGAAUGACUUUUUUGAGAGAAAGUGGACCGCAGGGACAUUGUGGACUCUGAAUGGAGAGAUCGCACAGAGAUGGCCGAAUCCGACCUCCUCGGAGUACCAAUGGGUGGCUGAGCUCCAGCAGCCACGGCUGAGAAGGUUGGACCAAAUGACGUCUCCAUCCUGCUCUGCAGCACAGGAAGGUUACAUGAAUUGUUUAAUUAUUUCAGAGGAAGAACGUUUGGACCAUACCGCAUAGAUGUACAUGUAAUUCUAUUGUGUGGUGGCGCAAAUUCCGAUUUUAAAACUAACUCUUGCAUUUUGACAUCAUUCACCCGUGUUAAUUUAUUUGCAGCUGCCUCACAAUUCUCAAUGUUGAUGCACAAGACUCUUAAUUUGGAAACUAUGAUGCCAUCUAACCUAAAUCAUAGAUAGAUUGCAAUCCUGUAGAAAACACCGGACCACAAAAUAUGUAUUCAUUUGUAACACUAAACCUUUAGCUCCUGUUUGUCUUACCCCGCUAGCUGGGUCAGCCGUGGGAGUGGAGGGGCUGCAGGGAAUGAUAUCUGGGUUUUCUGCUGUUCCACCAGAGUAUGUGUUGUAAUAUCUUGCUCCUGCUCAUAACCCGAAAUGCACACACGUGGAGAGGACACACGAGCAAGCCAGAUAGUCGUUUAGGCCUGGGAAACAAGAGGGGAAAAAAAUGUCAAAAUUGCACUCACAGCCUUCUGGAUUAUUGCAAAUCAUUCAUCAAAUCCAAAACAUGGCAUGCUCGCUCACAUGCAUGUAAAGUAAUAAAUACAUGUCAAGGGAAAAAAAUCAGUGAAUUAAUGCAAUUGCUCCUCCU
Doryrhamphus excisus (bluestripe pipefish) is the source of this 1007-nucleotide non-coding RNA. Lineage: Eukaryota; Metazoa; Chordata; Actinopteri; Syngnathiformes; Syngnathidae. The record is from RefSeq and is a predicted model, not a curated record.